GUGAGUAACACGUGGGCAACCUACCCAUGAGAUCGGGAUAACUCCGGGAAACCGGAGCUAAUACCGAAUAACCCAGUGAACUGCAUGGUUCACUGGUAAAAGGCGGUUUCGGCCGUCACUCAUGGAUGGGCCCGCGGCGCAUUAGCUAGUUGGUAAGGUAACGGCUUACCAAGGCAACGAUGCGUAGCCGACCUGAGAGGGUGAUCGGCCACACUGGGACUGAGACACGGCCCAGACUCCUACGGGAGGCAGCAGUAGGGAAUCUUCCGCAAUGGACGAAAGUCUGACGGAGCAACGCCGCGUGAACGAUGAAGGUCUUCGGAUCGUAAAGUUCUGUUGUUAGGGAAGAACAAGUACCAGAGGAAAUGCUGGUACCUUGACGGUACCUAACCAGAAAGCCACGGCUAACUACGUGCCAGCAGCCGCGGUAAUACGUAGGUGGCAAGCGUUGUCCGGAAUUAUUGGGCGUAAAGCGCGCGCAGGCGGUUUCUUAAGUCUGAUGUGAAAGCCCACAGCUCAACUGUGGAGGGCCAUUGGAAACUGGGGAACUUGAGUACAGAAGAGGAGAGUGGAAUUCCACGUGUAGCGGUGAAAUGCGUAGAUAUGUGGAG
This 611-nucleotide ribosomal RNA is filed under the name Pontibacillus sp. HK9. Its description in RNAcentral is "bacterial SSU rRNA". It matches the Rfam family "Bacterial small subunit ribosomal RNA", at positions 106 to 703 of the family's 1533-position model. Lineage: Bacteria; Bacillati; Bacillota; Bacilli; Caryophanales; Bacillaceae. RNAcentral also lists the same sequence under 1 other name. The record is from RNAcentral.